This 2197-nucleotide long non-coding RNA is filed under the name Mus musculus (house mouse). Its description in RNAcentral is "long non-coding RNA chr7:25670870-25673067". Lineage: Eukaryota; Metazoa; Chordata; Mammalia; Rodentia; Muridae. The record is from RNAcentral.
GGCAGGCUUUGCCUUGGGAUGAGAACCUGUAAAGAGUUAAAAGUGCUCCCGUGGUCUGAAUUGUUAGGACAAACCUGCCUGCCAAAAAUGGUUUUAAAGGCAAGUGUGUUUCUAAUCCCAGCAUUCGGGAUGUAGAGGCAGGAAGAUGAGGAGGCUUGCCUGGGUUACAUGAGACCUGUCUGGAGAAAAAAAAUAAUCUAUCACUGAUGUCUCCAGGCAGCUCUGUCAGGAGCAAAAGCUCUGUCAGGAGCAAACCAGAUCCUCUCUGGAUCCUCUAGACCUUCAUGCUAGGUCUCCAAAGAACUGAUCUUUUAAAGUAUUUUUUUCAAACAAAAUGACCAGAUACACAGUCAAAUACACUAGACACAAGUGUCAAACAGGACUCAGAGGUGCAAUACAGAGCAGUCAGAGGCAGUAACACGAUGCUUACUACCCGAAGCAGGCUGUUCUCAACCCCGCGGAUGGACUCGUUUUGAUUGUAAACAUGGUCUUUCUUUGUAGCCCCCGGCUGUUCUUUAAGGCUCUGUGCAGCGUAGUCCAGCUGUCUGAAACCAUUCCCCUGCUUCAGCUUCCUGGGUGUCAGGAUUAUGGGCACAUACUAAGCCUGGUUCCUAAAGACAAAAUCUCUACUAUGUAGUCCUGGCUGUUCUAGAACUCAUUAUGUAGACUGGGCUGGCCUUAAACUCAACAGAGAUCUGCCUACCUCUCUUGGAGUUCUGGGAUUAGAGGUAUGCGCCAAAACCUUUGCUUCAAAUACUCUUUUGAUGUAACUCAGAUGUUUCUCCCCUUGAAUCUGGGCAGGUUUCCAAAUCACUUGACAGAAUAUGAUAAAGUCACUUUACAAGGUUUUUAAAGAAAAGGUGACAAAAAGUCUGGUCCAGAGGACUGAAAUUACAAGUCCUGCCAGGACUAUAGUGAGUUCCAAGUCAGCCUGGGCAAUUCAACAAGACCCUGCCUAAAGUAAAACGGGAAAACCAGGGUGCUGGCACCUGCCUCUUAGCCCAACUCUCGGGAGGUGGAAGCAGGAGGGACAGAAGUUCAUGGUCAUCUUCAAUUACAUGAUGAGUUUGAGGCUAGCCUGGGCUACAUGAAACCAUCUCACAAAAGAGACAAACCAGGUGGAGUGGCAUAGGCCUGUAUUUCCAGCUACUUGGGGCUUGGGAAAAAAGAUGAGUGUGAGCUGAGAAGUUCAGGCUGGCAUGAAUAUCAGACACCGUGUCAAAAGAAGAUAAAUGUCAAAAUGUAAAAAUGAUGUUUCACAAUAUGAGGAAGGAAUAUGACAUAAAAAUGACUUUACUACAGGCAGUGGUGGCACACACUUUUAAUCACAGCACUCAGGAGGCAGAGGCAAGUGGGUCUCUUGAGUCCCAGGACAGCCUGAUCUACACAGAAAAAUCCCAUCUCAAAAAAGAAAAGAAAAAAAAAAGAAAACAACUAAAAACUAAUUUUAUGAUGGUUGUGUUGGCACAAACCUGUAACUCUAACAUUCUUGGAUGCUGGGAUACAAGGAUGAAGAAUUUAAGGCCAGCCUGAGAGAUACACAGACUCUGUCUCAGAAAGGGAGGAGCGGGGAUUGAAGAGAGGGCUGAGUGCUUACUGCUCUGUAACUCCAGCUCCAGGGGAUCUGAAUAGUGGGUAAUGUGUUACACACACACAUUCAUAUUCUCUCUCGUUGGCUCCAAAGAACUGAUAACAGGUUAAGGGAGCUGGCAGUGGAUCCAGGUUGGAUUCCCAGCACAUGGUGCCUCACACCUCCCUGUUAAUACCAACCCCAAGGCAUCCAGCGCCCCCUUCUGGCCUCCACAGAUAACCACAUGAGUAUAAUGCACAGAUAACGCAAGCAAAACACCCAUACACAUAAAAUAAAACGUUUUAAACUAACAAAAAUCUGAAAAGAAUAUUCAAAAGCAGUGUGAGGGGAAGCAGAGAGACAGGUCAGCAGGUAAAGCCAUUGGCCACUGAGCCUAAUGACGGCUCCAGAAUGCUGUCCUCUGACCUGCAUGUGUGCGCUGGUCUCACUCCAAACGGAGCAUGCACACACAAAUAAAUGUUAGGGUUUGGGGUUUUUUUUUUUUUUGUUUUGUUUUGUUUUUUAAGAUUUUUAACUUGAAAAACUGGGUCAACAGAAGCCAGGUGUUUAUGGGUUCUGGAAAAAGGAAAACAGCAAACAAAGAUUUAAGGAACAAAUUAAAGUCUG